This 1395-nucleotide ribosomal RNA is filed under the name metagenome. Its description in RNAcentral is "SSU rRNA". It matches the Rfam family "Eukaryotic small subunit ribosomal RNA", at positions 482 to 1777 of the family's 1831-position model. The record is from RNAcentral.
AAUGCAGUGCCCGAACAGGGCGUUGUAAUUGGAAUGAGAACAAUUUAAAUCCCUUAUCGAUUAACAAUUAGAGGGCAAGUCUGGUGCCAGCAGCCGCGGUAAUUCCAGCUCUAAUAGCGUAUAUUAAAGUUGUUGCAGUUAAAAAGCUCGUAGUUGGAUUUCGGCGUGCGCUCAGGCUGGUCGGCCGUCAAGGUCUGUACCGUUUGGGUCACGCCCCACUGUAGGAUACUCACCGCUGUCCUUAACUGGGUGGCGGUCAAAGGGGGUGUGCAUGGGGGCAACUCUGUGCAUAUCUCUGGGGUUCCUACUCUUUUACUUUGAGCAAAUUAGAGUGUUCAAAGCAGGCAAUCGAGCCUUGAAUACUUCAGCAUGGGAUAAUGGAACAGGACUGGGGUCCUGAUUUCGUUGGUUUCUGGGAUCUCAGUAAUGAUUAAUAGGGAUAGUUGGGGGCAUUAGUAUUUAAUUGUCAGAGGUGAAAUUCUUGGAUUUAUGAAAGACUAACUUCUGCGAAAGCACUUGCCAAGGAUGUUUUCAUUAAUCAAGAACGAAAGUUAGGGGAUCGAAGACGAUCAGAUACCGUCGUAGUCUUAACCAUAAACGAUGCCGACCAGCGAUUGGGAGACGUUACAUGGAUGACUCCCCCAGCAGCUUGCGAGAAAUCACAAGUCUUUGGGUUCCGGGGGGGUAUGGUCGCAAGGCUGAAACUUAAAGGAAUUGACGGAAGGGCACCACCAGGAGUGGAGCCUGCGGCUUAAUUUGACCCAACACGGGGAAACUUACCAGGUCCAGACAUAGUAAGGAUUGACAGAUUUGAGAGCUCUUUCUUGAUUCUAUGUGGUGGUGCAUGGCCGUUCUUAGUUGGUGGAGUGAUUUGUCUGGUUAAUUCCGUUAACGAACGAGACCUUAACCUGCUAAAUAUGUCACUGGUAGACUUCUGCCAAAACAAGUGGGUGUCUAGGGGAAAGUUUCGAUGGACUCCGACGCAUUCAUCUGUGGAUGACUACCAGGAUGUACUUCUUAGAGGGACUAUCUGUAUCAAAGCAGAUGGAAGUUUGAGGCAAUAACAGGUCUGUGAUGCCCUUAGAUGUUCUGGGCCGCACGCGCGCUACACUGACAAGUUCAACGAGUUUAACACCUUGCUCGAUAGGGCUGGGUAAUCUUUGAAAAACUUGUCGUGAUGGGGAUAGAUCAUUGUAAUUAUUGGUCUUCAACGAGGAAUUCCUAGUAAGCGUGAGUCAUCAGCUCGCGUUGAUUACGUCCCUGCCCUUUGUACACACCGCCCGUCGCUCCUACCGAUUGAAUGAUCCGGUGAAAUGUUGGGAGCUGGGGUCUUUUGGCGGCGGGGCAACUCGUCGUCAGGGAUUCUGCAAACUUCAUUAAACCUUAUCAUUUAGA